RNAcentral lists this non-coding RNA (27 nucleotides) under Mus musculus (house mouse). Lineage: Eukaryota; Metazoa; Chordata; Mammalia; Rodentia; Muridae. The record is from RNAcentral.
GAAAUAGAAAUCAUACCAAGAUGCCCC